RNAcentral lists this ribosomal RNA (259 nucleotides) under uncultured bacterium. Its description in RNAcentral is "partial 16S ribosomal RNA". It matches the Rfam family "Bacterial small subunit ribosomal RNA", at positions 74 to 334 of the family's 1533-position model. The record is from RNAcentral.
CUUGCAAACUAAAGAUGGCGACCGGCGCACGGGUGAGUAACACGUAUCCAACCUGCCGAUAACUCGGGGAUAGCCUUUCGAAAGAAAGAUUAAUAUCCGAUAGUAUAUUAAAGCCGCAUGGUUUUACUAUUAAAGAAUUUCGGUUAUCGAUGGGGAUGCGUUCCAUUAGUUUGUUGGCGGGGUAACGGCCCACCAAGACUACGAUGGAUAGGGGUUCUGAGAGGAAGGUCCCCCACAUUGGAACUGAGACACGGUCCAA